UACGUAUGGAGCAAGCGUUAUCCGGAUUUACUGGAUGUAAAGGGAGCGUAGGCGGCAUACCAAGCCUGAUGUGAAAACCCGGGGCCCAACCCCGGGAGUGCAUUGGGAACUGGCAAGCUAGAGUGUCGGAGAGGCAGGCGGAAUUCCUAGUGUAGCGGUGAAAUGCGUAGAUAUUAGGAGGAACACCAGUGGCGAAGGCGGCCUGCUGGACGAUGACUGACGCUGAGGCACGAAAGCGUGGGGAGCAAACAGG
Molecule: ribosomal RNA, 253 nt
Filed under: uncultured bacterium
Lineage: Bacteria
Description: partial 16S ribosomal RNA
Rfam family: Bacterial small subunit ribosomal RNA
Source: RNAcentral